Molecule: ribosomal RNA, 253 nt
Filed under: uncultured bacterium
Lineage: Bacteria
Description: partial 16S ribosomal RNA
Rfam family: Bacterial small subunit ribosomal RNA
Source: RNAcentral
UACGAAGGGGGCUAGCGUUGCUCGGAAUGACUGGGCGUAAAGGGCGCGUAGGCGGAUGGCACAGUCGGGCGUGAAAUUCCUGGGCUUAACCUGGGGGCUGCGUUCGAGACGUGCGGUCUUGAGUGGGGAAGAGGGUCGUGGAAUUCCCAGUGUAGAGGUGAAAUUCGUAGAUAUUGGGAAGAACACCGGUGGCGAAGGCGGCGACCUGGUCCUUGACUGACGCUGAGGCGCGAAAGCGUGGGGAGCAAACAGG